UCUUCUUUGUUGUUUCUGUCAGUAGUAACAUCCGGUCGUUGAUCGUGUGACUCGUGAUCAAAAAAUAAAAUUU
Xiphophorus couchianus (Monterrey platyfish) is the source of this 73-nucleotide long non-coding RNA. RefSeq lists it as uncharacterized. Lineage: Eukaryota; Metazoa; Chordata; Actinopteri; Cyprinodontiformes; Poeciliidae. The record is from RefSeq and is a predicted model, not a curated record. The transcript has 3 exons.